GACGGCAUGGCGAAAUGGUAGCCGCGAUCGCUUGCUAAGCGUUUGCCCGAGAGGGCGUGCAGGUUCGAGUCCUGUUGCCGUCG
Molecule: transfer RNA, 83 nt
Organism: Thecamonas trahens ATCC 50062
Lineage: Eukaryota; Apusomonadida; Apusomonadidae
Rfam family: tRNA
About the family: Transfer RNA (tRNA) molecules are approximately 80 nucleotides in length. Their secondary structure includes four short double-helical elements and three loops (D, anti-codon, and T loops). Further hydrogen bonds mediate the characteristic L-shaped molecular structure. tRNAs have two regions of fundamental functional importance: the anti-codon, which is responsible for specific mRNA codon recognition, and the 3' end, to which the tRNAs corresponding amino acid is attached (by aminoacyl-tRNA synthetases). tRNAs cope with the degeneracy of the genetic code in two manners: having more than one tRNA (with a specific anti-codon) for a particular amino acid; and 'wobble' base-pairing, i.e. permitting non-standard base-pairing at the 3rd anti-codon position.
Source: Rfam